RNAcentral lists this long non-coding RNA (370 nucleotides) under Populus tremula. RNAcentral's name for it is "long non-coding RNA (PTRE_LNC002469)". Lineage: Eukaryota; Viridiplantae; Streptophyta; Magnoliopsida; Malpighiales; Salicaceae. The record is from RNAcentral.
AUCAUGAGCACCGUGAUGCUCUGUUCUCAAUAAAACAGUACUUCCCACAAACAGAACAGACAACGGUACAACCGACUGGAAGAAGAAAACAGUUUGGAUUUGGGAAUCAUCCCUGUAUUUUCCCGCCAUAGCACUUUUUAUAUAUCCACAUAUCGCCACACAAGUAUAUGCACCAAAACAAACUCAGGCACUACAAAACAUAAGGUAUGGCACAUUUCUGGUUAUUUUUUUCUCUAAGAUCUAGUAAAAAUGGCUUUUGAAGGCUUUGAAGGCUUUUGAAGGCUUUUGAAGGCUUUGAAGGCCUUUGAAGGCUUUUGAAGGCGAUGCUUGCCGGGGCACUGGUGACACCUUGAGUCCUUGUAUCUGCGCA